AGAGUUUGAUCCUGGCUCAGGACGAACGCUGGCGGUAUGCUUAACACAUGCAAGUCGAACGAGAAGGAAGUGCUUGCACUUCCUGAAAGUGGCGAACGGGUGAGUAACGCGUGGGUAACCUACCCUUUGGAAAGGAAUAGCCCCGGGAAACUGGGUGUAAUACCUUAUAAGAUACGAGAGUCGCAUGGCUUUCAUAUUAAACGGCCUGGCGCUUCAUGAUGAGCCCGCGGCCUAUCAGCUUGUUGGUGAGGUAACGGCUCACCAAGGCUAAGACGGGUAGCUGGUCUGAGAGGACGAUCAGUCACACUGGAACUGAGACACGGUCCAGACACCUACGGGUGGCAGCAGUCGAGAAUCUUUCUCAAUGGGCGAAAGCCUGAAGGAGCGACGCCGCGUGGGGGAUGAAUGGCUUCGGCUAGUAAACCCCUGUCAUUUGCGAACAAACCUUACUGUUUAAUAGAUGGUAAGCUGAGGGUAGCGAAAGAGGAAGGGACGGCUAACUCUGUGCCAGCAGCCGCGGUAAUACAGAGGUCCCAGCGUUGUUCGGAUUCACUGGGCGUAAAGGGUGCGUAGGCGGUCGGGAAAGUUUGAUGUGAAAGCUCCGAGCUCAACUUGGAAAUUGCAUUGAAAACUAUCCGACUAGAGGAUUGUAAGGGAGACUGGAAUUCUCGGUGUAGCAGUGAAAUGCGUAGAUAUCGAGAGGAACACCAGUGGCGAAGGCGAGUCUCUGGACAAUUCCUGACGCUGAGGCACGAAAGCUAGGGGAGCAAACAGGAUUAGAUACCCUGGUAGUCCUAGCCGUAAACGGUGCACGCUUGCUGUGGGCGGAUUCGACCCCGUCCGUGGCGGAGCUAACGCGUUAAGCGUGCCGCCUGGGGAGUACGGUCGCAAGAUUAAAACUCAAAGAAAUUGACGGGGGCCUGCACAAGCGGUGGAGUAUGUGGCUUAAUUCGAUGCAACGCGAAGAACCUUACCUGGCCUUGACAUGCAGGGAUUAUUUGGGUGAAAGCCCGAAAAUUGCCGCAAGGUGUAACCUGCACAGGUGCUGCAUGGCUGUCGUCAGCUCGUGUCGUGAGAUGUUGGGUUAAGUCCCGCAACGAGCGCAACCCUUGUGUCCUGUUGCCACCCGAACUUAAGUUCGGAGCACUCUGGACAGACUGCCUCGCUUAAACGAGGAGGAAGGUGGGGAUGACGUCAAGUCAGUAUGGCCCUUACGGCCAGGGCUGCACACGUACUACAAUGCCUGGCACAAUGGGACGCAAGACCGCAAGGUGGAGCAAAUCCUCAAAGCCGGGCCCAGUUCAGAUUGUAGUCUGCAACUCGACUACAUGAAGCCGGAAUCGCUAGUAACGGCGCAUCAGCUACGGCGCCGUGAAUACGUUCCCAGGCCUUGUACACACCGCCCGUC
Molecule: ribosomal RNA, 1408 nt
Filed under: uncultured prokaryote
Description: partial 16S ribosomal RNA
Rfam family: Bacterial small subunit ribosomal RNA
Source: RNAcentral